RNAcentral lists this ribosomal RNA (252 nucleotides) under uncultured bacterium. RNAcentral's name for it is "partial 16S ribosomal RNA". It matches the Rfam family "Bacterial small subunit ribosomal RNA", at positions 524 to 776 of the family's 1533-position model. The record is from RNAcentral.
UACGUAGGCAGCAAGCGUUGUUCGGAGUUACUGGGCGUAAAGGGUGCGUAGGCGGCCCUGUAAGUAUGGUGUGAAAUCUCCCGGCUUAACUGGGAGGGUGCGCUAUAGACUGCGGGGCUCGAGUGUGGCAGAGGGGGGUGGAAUUCCGCGUGUAGCAGUGAAAUGCGUAGAGAUGCGGAGGAACACCGAUGGCGAGGCAGCCCCCUGGGCUGACACUGACGCUCAGGCACGAAAGCGUGGGGAGCAAACAGG